UACGAAGGGGGCUAGCGUUGCUCGGAAUCACUGGGCGUAAAGCGCACGUAGGCGGCUUCUUAAGUCAGGGGUGAAAUCCUGGAGCUCAACUCCAGAACUGCCUUUGAUACUGAGGAGCUUGCGUCCGGGAGAGGUGAGUGGAACUGCGAGUGUAGAGGUGAAAUUCGUAGAUAUUCGCAAGAACACCAGUGGCGAAGGCGGCUCACUGGCCCGGUACUGACGCUGAGGUGCGAAAGCGUGGGGAGCAAACAGG
Molecule: ribosomal RNA, 253 nt
Filed under: uncultured bacterium
Lineage: Bacteria
Description: partial 16S ribosomal RNA
Rfam family: Bacterial small subunit ribosomal RNA
Source: RNAcentral